AAGGCGGCAUCGCCAUCUGAAAUGGACCCUCACAGGAAGAGUUCAUUUAGAAGGAAGUCCCUUUGGUGCCUGCUGAGUCUGACGUGCUGGGGGGCCCGCCAUCCAGCUGGAGAUGAGGGACCUGCAGGAUGACUGCAGAACGGAGCACGAUUCUGUGGGCUGGAUGGAUGAAAUAACAGUGACGAUGCUUGUGCAGCAAAUCAAAGAGCCGAAUGAGCCAGACCAACUCAAGUCAACUUAGAAAGGUCAGCAGGUGGUGUGGUGAAGAUGCUAGACACUCCCACGUGAUU
Molecule: long non-coding RNA, 290 nt
Organism: Tupaia belangeri chinensis (Chinese tree shrew)
Lineage: Eukaryota; Metazoa; Chordata; Mammalia; Scandentia; Tupaiidae
Exons: 3
Source: RefSeq, a predicted model, not a curated record